Molecule: ribosomal RNA, 1341 nt
Filed under: uncultured bacterium
Lineage: Bacteria
Description: partial 16S ribosomal RNA
Rfam family: Bacterial small subunit ribosomal RNA
Source: RNAcentral
GAUGAACGCUAGCGGCAGGCUUAACACAUGCAAGUCGAGGGGCAGCGAGGGUAAUAGCAAUAUUACCUGUCGGCGACCGGCGCACGGGUGCGUAACGCGUAUGCAACCUACCAUCAACAGGGGGAUAACACUGAGAAAUUGGUACUAAUACCCCAUAAUAUCUCAUGCGGCAUCGCAUGGGGUUGAAAACUCCGGUGGUUGAUGAUGGGCAUGCGUUGUAUUAGCUGGUUGGUGAGGUAACGGCUCACCAAGGCGACGAUACAUAGGGGGACUGAGAGGUUAACCCCCCACAUUGGUACUGAGACACGGACCAAACUCCUACGGGAGGCAGCAGUGAGGAAUAUUGGUCAAUGGACGCAAGUCUGAACCAGCCAUGCCGCGUGCAGGAUGACGGCUCUAUGAGUUGUAAACUGCUUUUGUACGAGGGUAAACCCCGAUACGUGUAUUGGGUUGAAAGUAUCGUACGAAUAAGGAUCGGCUAACUCCGUGCCAGCAGCCGCGGUAAUACGGAGGAUCCGAGCGUUAUCCGGAUUUAUUGGGUUUAAAGGGUGCGUAGGCGGUUUGAUAAGUUAGAGGUGAAAUGUCGGGGCUCAACCCCGAAACUGCCUCUAAUACUGUUGGACUAGAGAAUAGUUGCGGUAGGCGGAAUGUAUGGUGUAGCGGUGAAAUGCUUAGAGAUCAUACAGAACACCGAUUGCGAAGGCAGCUUACCAAACUAUAUCUGACGUUGAGGCACGAAAGCGUGGGUAGCAAACAGGAUUAGAUACCCUGGUAGUCCACGCAGUAAACGAUGAUAACUCGUUGUCGGCGAUACACAGUCGGUGACUAAGCGAAAGCGAUAAGUUAUCCACCUGGGGAGUACGUUCGCAAGAAUGAAACUCAAAGGAAUUGACGGGGGCCCGCACAAGCGGAGGAACAUGUGGUUUAAUUCGAUGAUACGCGAGGAACCUUACCCGGGCUUGAAAGUUAGCGACGACGCUUGAAAGAGCGUUUCCCUUCGGGGCGCGAAACUAGGUGCUGCAUGGUUGUCGUCAGCUCGUGCCGUGAGGUGUCGGGUUAAGUCCCAUAACGAGCGCAACCCCUACUGUUAGUUGCCAUCAGGUGAUGCUGGGCACUCUAGCGGGACUGCCGGUGUAAGCCGAGAGGAAGGUGGGGAUGACGUCAAAUCAGCACGGCCCUUACGUCCGGGGCCACACACGUGUUACAAUGGUAGGUACAGAGGGCAGCUACCCUGCGAAGGGGUGCGAAUCUCGAAAGCCUAUCUCAGUUCGGAUUGGAGGCUGAAACCCGCCUCCAUGAAGUUGGAUUCGCUAGUAAUCGCGCAUCAGCCAUGGCGCGGUG